UUUGAGUGGAAGGCAGACGUCCAGUCACACAGCGUAAAGACAAUAAUAAUAAUAAUUAUUAUUAUUAUUUAUAAAGAGUCAAUCCUCAGCUGUGAUAAUUAAAUUCAAUCGCAUUCAUUUAAAUCCUCGUCAGCUUCUCGGCGCUGUAAUGUCAUCACGUCCCAUUGCGGAAGUGUUUGGAUUCCCAAGAAAGAAAAGGGAAAGAAAAAAAAUAAAUCAUAUCCUGUCUGAGAAAGUUCGCCUCACGGCUGGAAUAGCAACAAAAUGUCAAAAGUUACAAGACAAAACAAUUGUGCGUGGUUAGCAAUUGUGUUUCGUUCAGCCAUGGAGUCUAGGGGACAAUCAAAAUGUUUAGGGAGGGGAGUGGGAGCCCCCGUCCGCCUGUCAUCACAAUGUUGAUCAUCACGUAUUGGGAUUUUUUUUUUUUGAGUCUCAUGCCACCAAAUAAAAACAUCCAAUUUCCUUUCGCCCGACAAAGACAAAGCACAACUUUUCUUUUUGUCUAAAAAUGGUCUGCUUUGGAGGCAGGGUGGGCACGUAGAGCUAAUUUAGGAGCCAAGAGGUCAGGGCCUGAUGAAAAUGUUUGGGUUCAUGUCUGCACGUCAGCCUCAGAGCUGCCAACAAAAAGCUGUGUGCUUAUGUCUACUCGAUAGGUGCGGUAUGAUUGGCUGGCUACCGGGUCCAGGAUGCACCCUGACUAUCAAUGAACUACUAUUAUUGAAAACAGACUUGGACGUGGCCGAGGAAAAAUAAAGUAUUAUGGGCAUAUCAGGUUCCAGAUGGAAAUAUGAAUGAGAUGGUGAGUAGGAUGGAUGGCCAAUAAAGACACGGCCUUUGUUUUGACAGGGUGACAGCUGCUGGCCAUUAUUGAGCAUGCGCAAUAGUACCCCCCACCUGCCACUGACAGAACACAGCGGCUGUGUCCAAACUUGCAGGCUCCGUCCGCGUCCGGAAGUGACGAAAAUGCGGCCUUUGGAGAACCCAGCCGGUGAAAUCGGACACGGUCAAUGUUGCACGUCAGCCUUUUGGAAGAAAACUAACGAAGCUGUUGCCAAAUUGUGUUUAUUCGAGGAAAAGAGUCACAAUUGGACAAGGCGAAAGAUGGAUAGAUAGAUCGCGUGAGCCAACUGGAGCGUGUUCCCGAGGACGAGAUCAACCGUCUGCUGUGUAUCGUGCUGGAUGUGGAGUACUUGGACAAACGCGUGGACGACGCCGACACCAAGAGCCGAGCUUGGAUCAGUGACGGCGAGUGAAUCUUUCGGUGACCAACUACGCAUUUUGAUUCAGCCGUCGGAGACAAUGCAGCGCGUCUGAAAAGGUAAACGCAGAGAGAGAGGGACAAACAAAAAUGAUAGAGGAUUUCAGUCGGGCUGCACCAGCCGCAAAUUUCGGUACACCGCCGCGAGAACAGAAGAAUGUAAUCAUCGAAAAUAGUCAUGCUCAUUUUUGAUUAUUACAAGACUACGACUACAAACUUACAAGCGUAAUAGUAAACAUGACUGAAUCGAAGCAACUGUGUGAUUUUUAUCUUCUGAAUUUUGAAGUCUCAAGUUGCUUUUUAAAUCAGACGUAGACAAAUUGAAACAAAGACUUUGGUCUCUGGUGUGUCUACCCAACCAUCGAGUGUGAAAUUAAGCAACCAAGUAAGUUUUACUACCCGCCGAUUUUUCAAAGAUGUGCUUGUGCAAAACUCAGAGCAAGUUUUGCGUAUCGCGACGGCACAAUUCCACGAAGUGACAUCAGAACCACCAUGCCCCAUUGACAGGCAGAGGCACAAUCAAGUUGUCUGCUAAAUGGUAAGCAGAGCUGCAAGGUUAGGGGCGCUAACAGUAUUUACCGGCAUUAGCUUCAGAUAAACGGCACCUACUCGAAUGUUUGACUUUUCGACAUGAUUAAUCUCAUCACGCUCAGGCGAAAUUAAGAAUUCAACGUAUUUUAUGUUUUCAUUCGUCCUAAUUUAUUUGGUGUGAACAAACCACCCAAAAAUGCCGAGGCGGUCUAAAAACCGAAUGACUUAUCACCAAGCAGCUCCGCCUGCACCCAUGUCAGCUGCACCUGUGGCAACUGUCAUCCGUUAAACACCGCUGAGGUCAUGGGGGCGGGGUGGGAGGGGGGAAUGAACAGAACACAGAAAAUAAUGCUUACGACAACAACUUACUGGUGAUGACGCCUCCGGAGAGCGAGGCCAGGAAACCCACGCUGACCAGCACGACGGUGAUGAGACGGCCCCUCUUGUGGCGUUGCAGCAUGACAAACAUGAGCAGCCCCACCACCCCGUGGACGAAGAGUGAGGAGAAGAGGCACCACAGGAACACCCAGUACCACAUUUCUGACAGGGGAGGGAACAAAAUAAUAAAAUGAUCGACGAGCCCUGAAACACGUGAAAGUGUCCAUUUAAAUACCGAUUACCAUUAAUUAGCAUUAGCAAUAAUGAGGUACCAGAGUUCAAGCCCAAAGUGCAAUUUUUUUUUUUUUGCAUAUCCGUUAAACCGAACCGUUCUAUUUUCCCAAGCGACUACGUCUAUAUUUAUUGAUCCGGCAAUUGGCGGUCGGGCCCAGCAGGGAGAUGUGCGCUGUCCGGCAUGGAUGCACAAGUGACUCUUUGUCCCACGCGACAGCUCAACUCAACUCAGCCAGACAGGAGGCCGACGUCCGAGACGGGACGGAGAGAACAAGUACAAAUCAGACGGCGCUUCCAAGAUGUAUAUCGAGAAGCAUUCCGUCACGCUCCAUCGGGAUCUUUCAUCUCGAUCCGGUUGCACAGGCGCCCAACUGAGCCCGGAUGGAUUUUCGCAAAGCUCUUUUUGAGAGUUGUCGGCAACCACGGGAGGACCACGACGACCACCAUCGGCUCGACUGGCCUUGGCCUUUUAGCCAUCAGAACCAAAUGGCUGCAAAACCCGAUUUUGUUUUAACAUCGGCGCCACGACGACAUCCAUGAAAAGAGCCGUCCGAAGCUAUCAACGCAGUUAUUGGACGAAAGGCCGACAACUCCCUGUCGCGGAUCGCAUUACAAUGUGCAGGUGGAACGGUGAGUGGCUGACGUUUCCCUGCACACACAUUCUCGUUGUGACCCUAUUUCAGGUCUUAGUUGGUCAUUUUUCACCAGAUUGGGUUUGUAAAGGGGGGGUUGGGGUGUCAGGUGGCAGUAUUCUACCCCCCCCCCACCCCCUGCGUUGUGCUUCUGCUUCCACGCAGCUCGACAAGCGCUCAAGCUUCCUGCCGACUCAGCAUCCCCCCCCCCCCACUACCUCUUUUUCGCUCGUGCCCGACACGUUGCGCAACGCGCAGGAUGCGACGCAAGCACCUCGAAAGGUCGCAGUGCUGCAAUCGGAAAUGACCACAUGUCCGGUUCUUUUAAUAUUCUGCGUGUUCAAUGAAAUAUUUGUGUAAGAAAAAAAUCCUCGUUUCCCGAAUGCAUAGGGGGGAAUCUGGCGUGCUGUAAUUUUGGUGAAGGGCAAGUAAAAAUCUCUGUUGAUUUACUAAAACAGAUUUUAAUUUUUUUUUUUUAAUCAAAUGCUCUUCCAAGAGAUAGCAAUUAACAUGUGUACCCAAUUUUAGAACCACAGAGAUCUUCGAAUAACUCUCGUUAGUGGCAUGUCGCAAAAUUGUAAACCAAGUCAGUUGGGACAUUUUCCAGCUCAGGCGUCACCCUUGUGAGGACAAACGUUGUACAAGACGGAUGGAUGGAUCUUUUUUCUUUUUUUUUUGUAGGGUACGUUUGUAUUUAUUAGACAUAUGUCAGAUGUGACCGCUUACCGAGACGUAUCUCUAAUUUAUUAAUUUUAGGUGAACAGGGAAAGUAAAAAUACUCAAUUUCCCAUUUCUUCUUUUUUUUUCAUUUUUAUACUGGCAGUACAGACGACUGAGUCUUUUGUAACUUGGUCUGACAGUUUCAUGGCAAGCAACGACUGUCUUGGCUUGAUCGUAAAUUGCCAGAAUGCGAAUUCAUGCACAAUAAAAGCAGUUAAAAUGA
Hippocampus zosterae (dwarf seahorse) is the source of this 3976-nucleotide long non-coding RNA. RefSeq lists it as uncharacterized. Lineage: Eukaryota; Metazoa; Chordata; Actinopteri; Syngnathiformes; Syngnathidae. The transcript has 2 exons. The record is from RefSeq and is a predicted model, not a curated record.